RNAcentral lists this ribosomal RNA (244 nucleotides) under uncultured bacterium. Its description in RNAcentral is "partial 16S ribosomal RNA". It matches the Rfam family "Bacterial small subunit ribosomal RNA", at positions 524 to 765 of the family's 1533-position model. The record is from RNAcentral.
UACAGAGGGGGCAAGCGUUGUCCGGAAUCAUUGGGCGUAAAGCGCGCGUAGGCGGCCCUGUAAGUCCGUUGUGAAAGUCGGGGGCUCAACCCUCGAAUGCCGGUGGAUACUGUCGGGCUAGAGUGCGGAAGAGGCGAGUGGAAUUCCGUGGUGUAGCGGUGAAAUGCGCAGAUAUCAGGAGGAACACCAAUUGCGAAGGCAGCUCGCUGGGACGUAACUGACGCUGAGACGCCGAAAGCGUGGG